GCCUUCGUGGUGUAGUGGUCAGCACUCUCGAUCCGUAACCGGCAGAUCCGUGGUUCGAUUCCGGGCGAAGACG
RNAcentral lists this transfer RNA (73 nucleotides) under Stegodyphus mimosarum. It matches the Rfam family "tRNA". From Rfam's summary of the family: Transfer RNA (tRNA) molecules are approximately 80 nucleotides in length. Their secondary structure includes four short double-helical elements and three loops (D, anti-codon, and T loops). Further hydrogen bonds mediate the characteristic L-shaped molecular structure. tRNAs have two regions of fundamental functional importance: the anti-codon, which is responsible for specific mRNA codon recognition, and the 3' end, to which the tRNAs corresponding amino acid is attached (by aminoacyl-tRNA synthetases). tRNAs cope with the degeneracy of the genetic code in two manners: having more than one tRNA (with a specific anti-codon) for a particular amino acid; and 'wobble' base-pairing, i.e. permitting non-standard base-pairing at the 3rd anti-codon position. Lineage: Eukaryota; Metazoa; Arthropoda; Arachnida; Araneae; Eresidae. The record is from Rfam by way of RNAcentral.